AAAGAGAACGGGCCAAAACGAGUAAAAUAACUGGAAUCGCCACACUUAGGCUAAGCCAGGCAUGACGAGUCGGGCAACAUCAUGGAAAAAGGGGAGAGACGAUAGAACUUUUGGCAUGAGUUUUAAUCCCCACAACAACAUUCCUAGAAUCCUAUGACC
Rhodamnia argentea is the source of this 159-nucleotide long non-coding RNA. RefSeq lists it as uncharacterized. The record is from RefSeq and is a predicted model, not a curated record. The transcript has 3 exons. Lineage: Eukaryota; Viridiplantae; Streptophyta; Magnoliopsida; Myrtales; Myrtaceae.